This 855-nucleotide ribosomal RNA is filed under the name Micropotamogale ruwenzorii (Ruwenzori otter shrew). Its description in RNAcentral is "12S ribosomal RNA". It matches the Rfam family "Bacterial small subunit ribosomal RNA", at positions 279 to 1522 of the family's 1533-position model. The record is from RNAcentral. Lineage: Eukaryota; Metazoa; Chordata; Mammalia; Afrosoricida; Tenrecidae.
AGGAGCAGGUAUCAAGCACACAACAGUAGCUAAAAACGCCUCGCUUAGCCACGCCCCCACGGGACACAGCAGUAAUAAAAAUUGAGCAAUAAACGAAAGUUUGACUAAGUCAUACAAACCAAGGGUUGGCCAAUUUCGUGCCAGCCGCCGCGGUCACACGAAUAACCCAAAUUAAUAAACUUCGGUGUAAAGCGUGCUGGGGAAGUAAAAACCUAAAUAAAGUUAACUUCUUCUUAUGUCGUAAAAAACCUAAAGAAGCUAAGAACCCACUUACGAAAGUAACUUUAUAAAAAUCUAAUGCACGACAGCUAAGAAACAAACUGGGAUUAGAUACCCCACUAUGCCUAGCCUUAAACCAAGAUAUUUUAAAACAAAAAUAUCCACCAGAGAACUACUAGCAAAAGCUUAAAACUUAAAGGACUUGGCGGUGCUUCACACCCAACUAGAGGAGCCUGUUAUAUAAUCGAUAAUCCACGAUAUACCUCACCAUUACUUGCCAACUCAGUCUAUAUACCGCCAUCUUCAGCAAACCCUAAAAAGGGAGAAUAGUAAGCUAAAUCACUAGCCAUAAAAACGUUAGGUCAAGGUGUAACCAAUGUAAUGGGAAUAAAUGGGCUACAUUUUCUAUUUAAGAAAAUUACGAAUAUAUACAAUGAAAAACUAAUAGAAGGAGGAUUUAGUAGUAAAUUAAGAACAGAGAGCCUAAUUGAAUAACGGCCAUGAAGCACGCACACACCGCCCGUCACCCUCCUCAGAGUAUAGUUGACAUCAUAUACACCAAAUAACGAAUAACCAUAUAUGUAGAGGAGACAAGUCGUAACAAGGUAAGUAUACUGGAAAGUGUGCUUGGAAAAC